Molecule: non-coding RNA, 74 nt
Organism: Myotis brandtii (Brandt's bat)
Lineage: Eukaryota; Metazoa; Chordata; Mammalia; Chiroptera; Vespertilionidae
Source: Rfam
GGUUGUUCUUGGGUGAUGCAUCUCAGAAUCAGGCUCCCUCCUCUCUGGUCCAGGUGUGUCACCAGAGAACCCCA